Molecule: long non-coding RNA, 274 nt
Filed under: Capra hircus (goat)
Lineage: Eukaryota; Metazoa; Chordata; Mammalia; Artiodactyla; Bovidae
Description: lncRNA (ENSCHIG00010010554.1)
Source: RNAcentral
AAACUGCAGAAAUUGAUGGAUUGGCUCACUUUUCAGAGCACUAACAGUUGGACCAACCUCCGUUGUCAAGAGCCUUAAUCCAGCAUUAACAUCUGCGUCAUAACGCUUACCCAUGACUAAACCACUGCAGGAUUAAUGUAGGCUGACCACUGCAGCAGUGUUUAUUAUACAAUCUGCUUGAGCCUUUCAUCAUGUCAAAGAGGAAUUACAGGGUCUGCAUUUCUCUGGUGUAAAUUUCUCUGUAUUCUGAAGAAAGAUAAGUGACUUCAGCCAA